GACGUAGGGUGCGAGCGUUGUCCGGAUUUAUUGGGCGUAAAGAGCUCGUAGGCGGCUUGUCGCGUCAGCUGUGAAAACCCGCGGCUUAACCGUGGGCCUGCAGCUGAUACGGGCAAGCUAGAGUUCGGUAGGGGAGACUGGAAUUCCUGGUGUAGCGGUGAAAUGCGCAGAUAUCAGGAGGAACACCGGUGGCGAAGGCGGGUCUCUGGGCCGAUACUGACGCUGAGGAGCGAAAGCGUGGGGAGCGAACAGG
RNAcentral lists this ribosomal RNA (253 nucleotides) under uncultured bacterium. Its description in RNAcentral is "partial 16S ribosomal RNA". It matches the Rfam family "Bacterial small subunit ribosomal RNA", at positions 524 to 776 of the family's 1533-position model. The record is from RNAcentral.